AUAAACGUGGGUGAAAACAACCGUGAUGAUAGGGUCCUUUGAAUAGAACUCCCUAUCAACCCUCGCAUACUCGUGACGCGGAACUCAGCACACGUAUGAUACACGUGGCGAAGUGCUGGAAGUUAGCAAAAGAACUAAUAGAUAGUAGCCACCUGAAAUAACCCCAAAAUUCCCCUAAGGCCUCUCGCACUAAGGUCAUCCUGUACGAUCGUACGAGAUUUUUCAAAUACGUUUCUUGCAAGUUUUACUUUUACAAAAGGUGUUUAGAACCUAUUGUCUUCUCUGUCCUGCUAACCUUCUCUGGUACCAGCUGUGGUGGAACUGCUCGGAUUAGCCUAGCUAAAGAACAAUA
RNAcentral lists this long non-coding RNA (352 nucleotides) under Setaria viridis. Its description in RNAcentral is "long non-coding RNA (SVIR_LNC004475)". Lineage: Eukaryota; Viridiplantae; Streptophyta; Magnoliopsida; Poales; Poaceae. The record is from RNAcentral.